AGCCUUGUCUCUUCUGAUGAAAUACCAGUGCCCACAAACAGAAGGUUCCCCUUCUCUCACCCAUGAAUAAACAGGAAGGUCUCUUGGAGCUGUGGUCUUGGGGCUGUAGCCCUGCCCCUAAUUUCCUCAGACCCUUUACUGAGAACUGAGUCAUUGCAACAUCAUGCUCAGCCAGCUGUCUCAGCACAAGAAAAAGCUUUGCUGUGGUAUGAGGUUUUGUGGGCUGCAGACUACAUCUAGGUCAGCAAAUUAAACUCCAUAGUGUGGUUACCAAUUCCAGCUUCAUCUAGCUUAAGGGCUGUCUGAUUUCACCCUCUGGGCAUUGGCUCUUCUGGUGUUUGGGAUAUAAGGCCCCUCUGUGGGUGUUUAAGGCACAAUAUUUCAGGCCUAAACCACCGAAUGACACAUGCCUAAACCCAGAAUCCUGUAUUCUCCACCAGGACUCCAGGGUAUGUGAGGGUAACAAUAGUCCAACCCUGCAGAUAAUGAGAUUUGUGUGUGUGUUAGAACAAAGGGGAAAGGUGGGGAUGUAUUUCUUUGAUGCUCAGUUUCAUCUACCACUUGUAUUUCUCUCCUGCCCUUCUUUGACCCUAACAUGAUCCAAACCCUUCUUUCUUGCUUCUCUUUUAUGGAAGUUUUGAAGAAUGGAUGGUUACAUAACAGAUGGCCAGCUGGUCUACCUAGAAGGGCCUUACAAAGGACAGUGCCUCCGUGGGGAAGGCUCACCCUGGAUCAGACGCCGGAUUGCAGAUUUACCAUGAAUGAAGCCCUUGGAGACUGAAUCAUGUUAAAAAUUCAAAAACAACUCAGUAAAUAUUUAUUUGAAGUCCUGCUGUUCUUCAAGGCCCUGGAAUGCAGAUAUGAGAAGAGUCACUGCUGCCCAAGAGCUGACUGACUGUGGAGGAAGACCAUGCUAGCAGGUGGCUACGUUUUCUACCACCUAGCACCUGCUCCCCCUUCUCCUGGUAAUGGUAUCUGCAAAUAAUCUCCUCAGUCUGUGUGCUUUCAGUGGAACUGAAUCUACCCCUGGUUCAAGAGCUCAGGUACAGCCUCUGGCCUGGCUGCAGUGAUUAGUUUAGAGAUGGACUUGUAACCUCAUCAAAGCCCGAUAUUGUUCAGGGUAACAUACUAGAUAUAUUUUGCUAGGAUUGCCAAUAAUCAUUUAUUUAAGCUCCUUAGAUGAGGUUUCCUGUCAUUUGCAACUGAAAAAGCUCUGUGUAGCAGGUUGAAUAGUGUUCACCCCCUGCCCAAAAAAUACACUCACAUCCACCCAGAACUUUGGAACUUUAGAAUAUGAUCUUAUUUAUUUAUUUAUUUAUUUGAGACAGAGACUCACUCUGUCGCCAGGCUAGAGUGCAGUGGCAUGAUCUCAGCUCACUGCAACCUCAGCCUCCCAAGAAGCUGGGACUACAGGUAUGUGCCACCACGCCCAGCUAAUUUUUGUAUUUUUAGUAGAGACGGGGUUUCACCAUGUUGGCCAGGAUGGUCUAUCUCUUGACCUCAUGAUCUGCCCACCUCAACCUCCCAAAGUGCUGGGAUUACAGGUGUGAGCGACGGUGCCUGGCCUGAUCUUAUUUUUAAAAGAGCCUUUACAGAUGUAAUUAGUUAAGGAUCUUGAGAUGCAAUCAUUAUGGAUGUAAAUUUAGGUGGGCCCUAAAUCUAACAAUUGGUGUCCUUAUAUGAUGAGGAGAUAUCACAGACGCAAAGACACAGGGCAUAUGACCAUGUGAAGAGGAAGGCAGAGGGUAGGGCGAUGCUGCCGUAAGACAAGGAUGCCUGGGCCACCAGAGGCUAGGAAGGGGCAAGGAAGGCCCUCCCCCUUAGAGCCUUCAGGGGGAGCAUAGCUCUCCUGACACUUUGAUUUCCAACUUCUAGCCUCCAGAAUGGUGAGAGAGAAUUUUCCACUGUUUUUAAGCCAACCAGCUUGUGACACUUGGUUAAUGGCAGCCCUAGGAAACAAGUGCACUCUAACAUGUGAAAUCACUCAACAGAUAUUUAUUGGUUCCUAAUAAUGUGUCUGAAAAGGACUUAGUAUAAAAUCCAAAGAAGAGGGACAUGGAGGCUGUAGAGAGGUAUUAGAGCUGGGACAUUAGGAAGCCUAAAGAACCAUCUGUCCCACUGUCCUGCACCCCGAUGGGUGCCUCUGGAAGGGCCUGGAGAAACCAUGGAAUUUAUGUUCUUUGGGCUCCCUUUUUGUCGGGUUAAGACAGGGACUCACUCUGUCAGCCAGGCUGGAGUGCAGUGGCGCAAUCACGGCUCACUGCAGCCUCAAUCUGCCAGGCUUAAGCAAUCCUCCCAUCUCAGCCUCCCAACUAGCUGGGACUAUAGGUGCAUGCCACCACGCCCAGCUAAUUUUUGUAUUUUUGUAGAGAUAAGGUUUCAUCAUGUUGCCCAGGCUGGUCUUGAACUCCUGGGCUCAAGCCAUCCGCCCACCUCGGCCCCUCGCAGGGCUCGGAUUCCAGGCAUGAAUCCCCCCGCCCAGCCUCCCUGGGCUUUUUGCAGGUCAUUCUCCUAAUUUAUGGAUGUCCUUCCUCAGUAAGGACAUGAGCUCUGCUUGAUAUAAAUUGAAAAUAUUCGGCCGGGCACGAUGGCUCAUGCCUGUAAUCCCAGCACUUUGUGAGGCCAAGGCGGGCGAAUCACGAGGUCAGGAGUUCAAGACCAGCCUGACCAAUAUGGUGAAACCCCGUCUCUACUAAAAAUACAAAAAUUAGCCGGGCGUGGUGGUGCAUGCCUGUAAUCCCAGCUACUCGGGAGGCUGAGGAAGGAGAAUCACUUGAACCUGGGAGGCAGAGGUUGCAGUGAGCCCAG
RNAcentral lists this long non-coding RNA (2808 nucleotides) under Homo sapiens (human). RNAcentral's name for it is "long non-coding RNA NONHSAT212789.1". The record is from RNAcentral. Lineage: Eukaryota; Metazoa; Chordata; Mammalia; Primates; Hominidae.